AUUGAACGCUGGCGGCAUGCCUUACACAUGCAAGUCGAACGGUAACAGGUUAAGCUGACGAGUGGCGAACGGGUGAGUAAUGUAUCGGAACGUGCCCAGUCGUGGGGGAUAACUGCUCGAAAGAGCAGCUAAUACCGCAUACGACCGGAGGGUGAAAGCGGGGGAUCGCAAGACCUCGCGCGAUUGGAGCGGCCGAUAUCAGAUUAGGUAGUUGGUGAGGUAAAGGCUCACCAAGCCGACGAUCUGUAGCUGGUCUGAGAGGACGACCAGCCACACUGGGACUGAGACACGGCCCAGACUCCUACGGGAGGCAGCAGUGGGGAAUUUUGGACAAUGGGCGCAAGCCUGAUCCAGCCAUGCCGCGUGCGGGAAGAAGGCCUUCGGGUUGUAAACCGCUUUUGUCAGGGAAGAAAAGGUUCUGGCUAAUACCUGGGACUCAUGACGGUACCUGAAGAAUAAGCACCGGCUAACUACGUG
Molecule: ribosomal RNA, 477 nt
Filed under: uncultured bacterium
Lineage: Bacteria
Description: partial 16S ribosomal RNA
Rfam family: Bacterial small subunit ribosomal RNA
Source: RNAcentral